Molecule: small nucleolar RNA, 130 nt
Organism: Apodemus sylvaticus (European woodmouse)
Lineage: Eukaryota; Metazoa; Chordata; Mammalia; Rodentia; Muridae
Product: small nucleolar RNA SNORA17
Exons: 1
Source: RefSeq, a predicted model, not a curated record
CCUGCCCCUAGAAGCACGGUAGGUGUGGCUGCUGUGGCACAUGUGCGUCAGUAGGCGGCAGAGAGGAGAGAGGCUACAUCUACCCUCAGUGUUCUGACCUGUGAACUAUAAUGGUUAGUAGCCUAACGUU